Molecule: ribosomal RNA, 731 nt
Filed under: uncultured bacterium
Lineage: Bacteria
Description: bacterial SSU rRNA
Rfam family: Bacterial small subunit ribosomal RNA
Source: RNAcentral
AACAGGAUUAGAUACCCUGGUAGUCCGCGCUGUAAACGAUGCCGACUUGGAGGUUGUUCCCUUGAGGAGUGGCUUCCGGAGCUAACGCGUUAAGUCGACCGCCUGGGGAGUACGGCCGCAAGGUUAAAACUCAAAUGAAUUGACGGGGGCCCGCACAAGCGGUGGAGCAUGUGGUUUAAUUCGAUGCAACGCGAAGAACCUUACCUACUCUUGACAUCCAGAGAAUUUGCUAGAGAUAGCUUAGUGCCUUCGGGAACUCUGAGACAGGUGCUGCAUGGCUGUCGUCAGCUCGUGUUGUGAAAUGUUGGGUUAAGUCCCGCAACGAGCGCAACCCUUAUCCUUUGUUGCCAGCACGUAAUGGUGAGAACUCAAAGGAGACUGCCGGUGAUAAACCGGAGGAAGGUGGGGAUGACGUCAAGUCAUCAUGGCCCUUACGAGUAGGGCUACACACGUGCUACAAUGGCAUAUACAAAGAGAAGCGAACUCGCGAGAGCAAGCGGACCUCAUAAAGUAUGUCGUAGUCCGGAUUGGAGUCUGCAACUCGACUCCAUGAAGUCGGAAUCGCUAGUAAUCGUAGAUCAGAACGCUACGGUGAAUACGUUCCCGGGCCUUGUACACACCGCCCGUCACACCAUGGGAGUGGGUUGCAAAAGAAGUAGGUAGCUUAACCUUCGGGAGGGCACUUACCACUUUGUGAUUCAUGACUGGGGUGAAGUCGUAACAAGGUAACC